UGCCCUCCCACUGGCAGAAGGUCUUACUGCGAAAGCAGAGGAUCUUCUGCCUCCUCCUGGCCUGUAACGACGCCAAAGAUGAGCUCGCGGGGGGGGCUUAUGACAGCAGAAGGGGAGGUCGUGGAGGUCAGUAUCUGUGGUCCCAUCAGAACCGAUACUGCUUUAGCUUUUCAAAGAAACCGUUAUUGUUUUCAUGCAUUUACGAGUCAAAAUUGUUGUCAAACACUAAGUUGUGGGAACAUGAACGACCAUUAUUUUAUCAUUUGUCUUUCUUCAUACAGUCCAUUUCCAUCAUGCCUACAUACAUUUGUAUUGUAUGGGCUAGAUUACACUUUCUGUGCUCGCUAACAAUGAUGGGAUGAUUAGAUUAUUGUUUUAAAUGCAGACAAACGGGUUUAGUGAGUGUAACGUAUACAAUGAAAACAAGAGGAACAAUGGAAAGAGUCGACAUGUAAUGUAGUGAAAGCUGUCGCUGAAGGGUUUAAAGGAAAAUGCUCAAAUGUGUUGUGUGUCCAACGUGUUUGUAGAUUCAAGAAACAAACACCUCACAGAUCAAUACGUUCACUAUAACUGACAUUAAUUUAUAGGACUUUUCUGUGUUUGGCAGUGAGGAAGGUUGUCAGGGAAACGACACGUUCCUAUAAAACCUGCAGCUGAAGCAGGUGAUGGUGCAGCUGAAGUGUGACAGCUGAAAGUCCUCUGGUACAUUUGGUGGUAGGAUGGUUGAACAGUGACAGUCUCCCUGUGGAGGGAGGCAGCAUUCACCACUUUGUGACCACAUAAAGGUCUCCCAUGUGAAGCUGAACCAGUGUGCUUAUGGUCCACAGCUGCGCAUCAUUGACGAAGACUGUGGUAUGAAGAAGCCAUAUGUUCGUACCAACAUGUAACAGCAAUGUCACAUUAACAAAAUAUUUAGAAUGAUAGGUUUUGAAAUGUAAACAGAUGCACUGUGUUGGUCAAAAUAUGACAUCAUACUAUCCAGAAAUGAUUUCAUCAUCUGUUGUUUUUAAUGUUUGAUCAACUGUAUUCUAAGCUGCCUGUUGUGUAUGUGCAGCUGUUUUAACACAACACCUGUAUUAAAAUGUUAAUGACAGGCCACUAAA
This is a non-coding RNA of Neolamprologus brichardi, 1103 nucleotides long. Lineage: Eukaryota; Metazoa; Chordata; Actinopteri; Cichliformes; Cichlidae. The record is from RefSeq and is a predicted model, not a curated record.